Meriones unguiculatus (Mongolian gerbil) is the source of this 6584-nucleotide long non-coding RNA. RefSeq lists it as uncharacterized. Lineage: Eukaryota; Metazoa; Chordata; Mammalia; Rodentia; Muridae. The transcript is spliced from 3 exons. The record is from RefSeq and is a predicted model, not a curated record.
CUUGCAGAUGGCGAAUGAAACCUCUGAACAGAACCCUCCCCCCCACCCCAUCCCCGCCCCAUGUCGCGCUGACACACAUCAGCUCGAGUCUGGAAUGCAAGAUCAAGGCGUGCGCGCCCCGCAGAGCGGUGGGUUUGGUCCCCGCCCCUCGCCCUGCAAGUAAAUACAGUUUGUGUGUUGCAGUAACUCCGAAAAGGCAAAACCGAAACUGGUGUGUAUGGCAGUGACCCGGCUACUGGAGGCAGUUUUAAGGAACUUGACGAUCUAGAGACAGCCCAUACGUUGAUAUUCAGCACCAUUGACUCUGGUGGUUUCGGCGCCCUCUGUUGUAUUUUUGCAUCCUACGAAGGCUGACUAGCUCUUAGGCCUGUAAGGUUUGCUUCUUCUGAAAGGUAAGGCUCUGCAGGACCCCGAGUGCCAGGGUCUGUUGCAGUGGCCCAUGGGAGCUGUUCCAAGGAAGGGCUCCAGUGAUCUACCCCUCGGCCGUGGGCUGAAGAUGAAAUAAAAUCUGUUAAUGUAAAGACACUUUCAACUCUUUAGGACUUGUUUGGGACAGCCUUUGGAGCACCAAGCCCAGACUCUGGGGAACAGGAUAGAAGCCAUCUUUGGCCUGACCAUGUUCCCAUGGCCAGAAGGUAGCACCUGGUUUCUUGAAAGCAACCAGGAAAAAAAAAAUGCUCUCUAAACUGUAGAAUGCUGGGGACACGUGCGAAAGGGGAUUCUAGACAAUGUGAGUCCCCCUUUCUUUCUUGCCUGAGAUUCCACCUCACCCCCUAGGAGCUAUUACCACCCUGAAGUCAUAAACUUCUGGCUCAGCAUCCAUGGCAACUGAUUCAGAGGUCACAAUCAGAGGAUUAUAACUGCAGAUGGGAACCCUGGAUGACAGGGGAGUUCUUCAAAACCCCUGUCUUGUUUCCCAACGAAUACUGCCUCUUACAUAAAAGUCUGCAAAGAGAGAUUAAUGAAGCAACGAGACUGCCCUCCCAGUCAGCAGACUGGAUUGCAUCCCUCCCGCUACCCCCCUCGGCUUAGUGAUUUGGAGGUCUUUAUUAUUUUUUUAAACAAAAACCUUUUUUUUUUUUUUCUAAAAAUACAAUGAGCUGGUUUUUGCAGAGUUCACAAUUCCCAAUAGAUAAUGAUGCCAUUUUUCAUGGUCUUACACACGUUGUGGCUUUGGGGCUUAUUUAUUAGCUCCGGAGAAAAGACUGCCUUUCAGUAAGGUUUAUAUAUUCGAGUAAUUGCACUGGGACACAGUGCAGGUUGCUGUUUAAGAGGGUGGGUUGUGCAGGCGCCUGCAAGCGAAGUCCUGGGCCAGGCAGCUGUCAGACCAGGGCAUGCAGCCGGUUUAAGCAAACACAGGGAAGGUUCUUUGGAAACAGCAAGGAGGAAAUCCCCUCCUGUAAGAGUGUGUGGAACAUGAUCCCUGGGCCACACGUAUGGGGACUUUCCAAUACAUGCCCCAUUAUGGGGAUGGCGCUGGGCCCACCCAGAUGACUUUCAAAUUCAGGUGUGAGAAAUCACAGCUGACAUGCAAGCAAAUUGUUUUUAGGUAAAAUCCCUGCGCUGCUUUGAUAUGAGUUCCACCGGGACUUUCCAACGGCAUUAUACAUGUUCCUGAGAUUACCUGGAGAAGGCUUUUCAUUUCUCUCCCUCAACAUUAACUUCAAAAUUAGCCCGUUAUUCCGAAAAGCUCUGGCAGCACCCAGAUGCCCUGUGUGAAUGAAGAGAGGGAGAGAGAGAUGGAUGGGUACACCAGGAUCUCCCCCAAACAUUAUCUGUCAACCCUGUAGUUAAAACCCUUGACACUCAUGUCUCAAGCCUCCAUGGCACCAACAAGACAACUGAGGUCUGUAUAGCCAGGAUCAGAGUGGAAGCUGAGCUUGCACUGAGGUUGCACAGUGGGAGAGGCUGACCCUGUGCCACAGUCUCCAUACUCAUAGCCAGCACCAACAAAGAGGAGGAAAAGCCACUCCUCACCAACUGCUCUAGAUGUGGGUGCAUCUUUCAAAUCCUCCUUUGCUCUCUCCAGAGGUACAGUGAAUAGUCAGCAAAUAGGUGUUGAAGCCAUGGCAAGGGGCCUGGAAGAGAGGCCUAGGCUUGCUCCCUCCUGGAAUCAACAAGAAUCAGCACGAAAAGCUGCCAUCCUGUUCUCAAUGAACACUGGCCAUCCUGUGGCCAUUUCCUCCUCACAAACAUCCAGCUUCAAACACAUUUCCCUGGAACAAUAAGAGGAAAUGAGAGAGGAACUGGGAACUCAGCCUGAAUACCAGUGAAUAGCUCAGAAGCCUGUGUUUGGGAUUCUGCUGGUGUGAAGCAGAAAAAAAGGAGAGGGUCAGCUUGACAGUGAAAGACAGCAGGAAACUUUCUCUCUCUCUCUCUCUCUCUCUCUCUCUCUCUCUCUGUGUGUGUGUGUGUGUGUGUGUAAUGUGCGUAUCUGUAAGCAGGACUGUAGUGUUGUUUAUGUCAUACAGUAUGAUAUGUACAUGAUGUAGAUGUAUGAUUUGUAUGUGAAUGGCAUAUGUAUGUGGUAUGUGAGUAUAUAUGUCAUGUUGGUUUGUGUACUAUAUAGCACAUAUGUGGUGUGUAGUAUUUAGGUAGACAGGUUGUGGGAGGAAUACUGCCUGUCAGUGAUGAGACCAGACCCAUUGAUGGAUGUGAUGUGUGUGUGUGUGUGUGUGUGUGUGUGUGUGUGACUUUCAUUAGUCUUUCAGCAAACUUAAUCAAUAUCUUUGGCUUUGCAGGAUGCAGCGUGUCUGUCACAGCUCUUCAUAUCAAUGAGCUGGAAUAUCAAGGAGUAGAUGGGCCCAUACUCUGAGGGAGUAGCAGCAGGUAGCACUCAGAUUUUGCUGGCUUCCAGUUCCACUGAAGGUCUGGAGUCACACAAUGUAGCUAGCUCUUCUUUCUGUUCCUGAUUGGAGUGAUAAACUCCAAGGCCAGCAAUCUUUUAGCUCACACCACUUAUAUUCUUUCUCUUGAGAACUAGAAAUUCAAGGUCACCUGUAGCAUCAGCUUGCCUCACUUCCCAUGUCUCCUUGGCUUACAGUGCCAAGCUCUCAUUGGCAUCUCAUAGGUGCCCGUUGAACAGAGAACCAGAGCAAGUGAUCUAGAGGUGAGGAGGCAUUUGGGACAUGAACCCUUCAGGAUCAGAUGUGCUCUUCUGGAUAGAGAGAGCUGGAGAGGCCUGUGACUCAGAGAAAUGAGAGGGGAGAAUGAAGGUGUGACAGAAGCAGACUCCGAGAGAGAUGAGUCUCAGAGAAGACAUAUUCCACCUGAGUUCUGAUGCCCUCACACCCUGUGUUCCUGACCAACAGCAGACACCUGGUUCCUACCUCGAUCAUUUCCCGACUUCACUGUCUCUUACUCUGGCAGUGACCAUUUCCUAGAGCCCACGCUCCUCUGCAGUGGAAAUGAACACCGGUUUCCCUGAGAGCAUUCUUCAGCAUGGGACUCUGUGCUUUCCACAGUGUUCACAGCUCCCUGUAGCUCGCUGGAUCCCAUCCUUCUGCUCCAGGGGCUGAUCCUGCCUGAACAUCUCCAAAGAGGCAGGAAGGACCCACCUUCAGUGGUCCUGGUCCCCUUCUAACUGACAGUUCUUUUUACAACAUUCCUCACAUACAUGUAUGUGCACGCUCACAGCGCACGUGCAUCUUCCCAUGUAUAUGUGCACACACACACAUCCUGCAUGUUGUUUUCCAUGAUGACAAACAUCCUGUCCAGGCCAUUUGCAAAUAUGAAAUGGUCUGGUCUGCCUCCCCCCCGCCCCCCGACAGCUGGAGCUUUGUCACAGCAGCAGAAAGCCAUGUGCCCAGAUGUUGUACCAGCAUGUUGUCAUCGCCACAGCCUUGAUGUCACCAUAACUUCGUUCACCUUCCAGAAGCCUAAUGACUCAGCUCUGUUACCCAAUUUCACUGAGACUACAGCUUAAGGAUGGCUUCCCAGGAAGGGACAGAGGCAGAGCAGAACCUGGCAGGAAACAACAGCACCCUGCCCUUCUCCCCAAGACGGAGAACUUUUAUGCCAACUGUACAGUUAAGUCACUCACCAACAAAACAUCCAAGUCCCUAAUCUGUGCAAAACAGUUCAGUGGAUGCUCUGCAGAGAAGGAAGAGCGGUAAGCAGAACAUACCUUGCUCGUUGAGAUACCAUCUGGGGGUGGGGGGAUGUGAUGUAAGAAAAUGCUUAAAUGGGAAGUGGAAGAAAACAGCUUCACACAGAUGUUCGAGCUGAGGGCUAAAAAACAGAUGAACAUUCAGGAAUGUUGCUGCCAAGCUAAGAAAAAAAAAUGUCUUAGACAGUAUUUGUUAACCGCUGCUAUCGUAGACAGCCAGCUAUCGCUGAACCCAUCUGCCAAUGAACUACCUCUCCCAGCAAGCUUUGCAGGAGGUGUGGGCAGCUACAUGACUUUGUUCUCAUCGGAGAGAGCAAAUGAGACCUUCUGUUUCCCACCUGGCUCAUCAAAACCAUGGGUCUCCCAUGUUCUUUCCCUUUUAGCUCAUGAGAACAGACAGCCCAUGAAACCCCAGAGGUGGUCAAAGAUGGCAUUGAAAAUGGCAGAGACUCAGACAGAAGGAGCUGGAAUUUUAAGUCAAUAAUGUCUUAGUGGAUAGCGUUUAGGAUGUUUUAUGGAUUUCUACAAGAAUAAAAACAAAGCCAGUCAUGGUGGCAGGUGGAUCUCUGAGUUCAAGGCCAGCCUGGCCAAUAGAGCAGGUUCUAAGACAGCCAGGGCUACACAGAGAAACCUUAUUUGAAAAACCAAAGAGAGGAAGAAGAAGAGGAGAAGAAGAAGAAUUUCUGACUAUGUUGAACUGGUGGGCUUUUGGGUGCUGGGUGUUAUAAGAAGCUGGCAUUUCCUAAUACAACAGCCUCUCAACUUUGGAUCAUGGUAAAAUUGUGUGGAGCUAAUCAGCAACACGAAAAUCCCUUGAACUUGGCCCAGAUGUCCUGACUAAGUAAUGUGCUCUGAGUAUGCACACUUUGACAAAUCAGCCACAAAGAUUUUGAUGCAGGCUCUGGUGAGCAUCCUCCUUAGGUACAAUCAAGGUGUACAUACAUAUUAUUAUUGUGGAACGUUAUCUGACUUAUGUGCAUUUGCAUAUGUGUUUCCCUCUUCCACCUUUGAGGUCAGCUGAGGUUCUAUUCUCUACCACGAAACGGCAGUUUCUGGGUGCUAAGAGAUGGCCAUGGCCCUGGCCCACCCCACCCCCAGACCUCACUGCAGGUCUCCUCUGCGUGUUGUCUGAUGGCCCAGCUAGAGAUGAGUCAUCCGUCUCCUCUGCCUCAGUGGGAGCACAGCUGUUGGGAGUGGACCCAGGGCUGCCUCUGCCUCCAGGAAGGUAGCUGGCUUCUCGGAGCCUUUCUCUACUCAUCUCUGCAUUGGCAGGGCCAGGUCUUGAGUUUGUCUUGCAUCCAGGUCUGCUGAAAGUCUGAUUUCCAGUCUGUAGGGGCAUUGUAACAUUCAGAACUGGCCCAGUUGUAUAAACACACAGCUUUGCUGUUUGUAGACUAAUCUUGCUUGAAAUAAAUGCUAACUUCACUGAGUGUGCCAUAGCGCCUCUCGUUACAGACUAAUCCUGUUUACAAGCUAAUGUCUUCCAGCUGUUUUCCCCCUUGUCCUGGUGGACCCCUGGUGUGAUGCUGCUCUGGCUGACAUCACACUUGUCAAACCGUAUCUACAUCACUCUUCUCAGGCCUGUCUUGAGACCCCAGCUGUGCUGAGCUCUGGGUGUAUCCAGGCCAUCUCUGAGUUCCUCUGCCUCUCUUCCUAGUCUCCACUGCACAGCUUAGCACCCAGUGGGUCCCAGCACACAGUAGGUACUUCUCAGUACCUGGGAGUUCACUGUUCCAGCCUGGAGCUAGCACUGUAAGGUUUUAAGUUAGCUUUCCUGAAAAUAUGAUCUUAGUUGCAAGCCAGUGACACAGCAGCCACCUCUGGAAGCAUAAUCCUCACCAAGAGGGCUUAAAUCCAUUCCAUUUCUGUAUUUACCACAGGAAAACAAAAUUCAUCUAGGGGGCUCUAAAGAAAAUUCCAUUCCACACUUUAAAGUCAUGGCUGAGAUUUGUAAUUUCCUAAUGGAUUUAUAAUGGGAAAGAAAUUACCCCUUAAUAAAGUAUUCUGGCCAGACACCAAGGUUGUCCUCAUCUAUGACCUCUGAGCUGCUGAGCCACCAUCUUCCUUUGGGCACCAAACUGAAUACAUCCGUGAAACUAGAGCUUCGAGACCCAUUGGAGCUAACGAAACAGAACCAAAGGGAGAAGCACAUGCAUUUUCCUCUCUAGAAUACACCAUCAAAGAUUCAGAGUGGGGCUGGCAGGAUGGCGUAACACGCAAACGAAGUGCUUGCCUCCCAGCCUCAUGAACUGAGUUCAGCCCCUGGGACACACAGUAGCAGGAGAGAACUGACUUCUGACCUCCACAUGCAUUCAUAUGCCCAUGACACACACAACACAAAUAAAUACACGUUUUUAAAAAAAUCCAGCGUAAUUCAGAGACAAUGAAGACUAGGUAGCCAACUGUCAUUCAUGGGCUUGGGCUGUGAGAACAAAGUACCACAGACUGAACAAACAUUUCUUUCUCACCAUUCUGG